Molecule: transfer RNA, 72 nt
Filed under: Marmota marmota marmota (Alpine marmot)
Lineage: Eukaryota; Metazoa; Chordata; Mammalia; Rodentia; Sciuridae
Also listed under: 1 other name
Rfam family: tRNA
About the family: Transfer RNA (tRNA) molecules are approximately 80 nucleotides in length. Their secondary structure includes four short double-helical elements and three loops (D, anti-codon, and T loops).
Source: Rfam by way of RNAcentral
UGGGUUGUAGCUCAGUGGUAGAGCACUUGCCUAGCAUGUAUGAGGCACUGGGUUUGAUUCUCAGCACCACAU